GAUGAACGCUGGCGGUAUGCUUAACACAUGCAAGUCGAACGGACUCUUCGGAGUUAGUGGCGGACGGGUGAGUAACGCGUGAGAAUCUGGCUUUGGGUUCGGGACAACCACUGGAAACGGUGGCUAAUACCGGAUGUGCCGAGAGGUAAAAGAGAAAUUGCCUGAAGAUGAGCUCGCGUCUGAUUAGCUAGUUGGUGAGGUAAAGGCUCAUCAAGGCAGCGAUCAGUAGCUGGUCUGAGAGGAUGACCAGCCACACUGGGACUGAGACACGGCCCAGACUCCUACGGGAGGCAGCAGUGGGGAAUUUUCCGCAAUAGGCGAAAGCCUGACGGAGCAAUACCGCGUGAGGGAAGAAGGCUCUUGGGUUGUAAACCUCUUUUCUUAGGGAAGAACAAAAUGACGGUACCUAAGGAAUCAGCAUCGGCUAACUCCGUG
This 435-nucleotide ribosomal RNA is filed under the name uncultured bacterium. Its description in RNAcentral is "partial 16S ribosomal RNA". It matches the Rfam family "Bacterial small subunit ribosomal RNA", at positions 28 to 507 of the family's 1533-position model. The record is from RNAcentral.